UACGUAGGGGGCAAGCGUUGUCCGGAUUUAUUGGGCGUAAAGAGCGUGUAGGCGGCUUGGUAGGUCCGCUGUGAAAACUCGAGGCUCAACCUCGAGAUGUCGGCGGAAACCAUUUGGCUAGAGUCCGGAAGAGGAAAGUGGAAUUCCUGGUGUAGCGGUGAAAUGCGCAGAUAUCAGGAAGAACACCCGUGGCGAAGGCGGCUUUCUGGGACGGUACUGACGCUGGAGACGCGAAAAGCGUGGGGAGGCGAACGG
Molecule: ribosomal RNA, 255 nt
Filed under: uncultured bacterium
Lineage: Bacteria
Description: partial 16S ribosomal RNA
Rfam family: Bacterial small subunit ribosomal RNA
Source: RNAcentral